AAUUAUAAUGAUCAAACUAAAAUUUUGAGCAUAAUAGUGCAUAAAAUUGAACAAACGAUGAAAAUGGAAUCGUAAAAACAAUCAAAAGAGAAUAUUUUCGAGGAUUUGAUCAUGAUCUGGUCUUAAUUUGCAGUUUUACCGACUUAGCAAAAUUCGGAGCGGAAAAAGAUGGAAUGCGGAGAUAGAGGGAAUUAAUUGUAACAUAUAAACACAUACGCCAUUCUUUAUUCGCCAAAAGUAGGCUGUUUUCAACGUAUUAUUGCUACCUGUGUGAGAAUAAAUUAAUCUCGUCCAAAUAGCUUCUAAUUGCAUUUACCUCGUCGUUUCCUAUCGAGUUUAUUUAUCGUUUUCAAAAUUCAAAACGAAGAAAAUUUUGAAUCGUUAUAAACGCUUGGACGAUUUAGCAGAGGCAGAGUGCUAAAUUUAGCGCGCGAUUCGCGGAGAACACCUUAAACGGCCAUUUACAUUUCCACCAAUGAGUUUCUUGUUCACUGUCACCUAUUCCGAUGUUUUCUUCGUUUGAAAUUCAAUGUUCUCGUCAAUUCCCAUUCUCAACAAUAUUUAUAACUCACUAUUCCAACCUCAAAAACACCUGCUGGGUCAUACUUGCAACCAAGUUCACGAACCUUGGUCAAAUUGAUGGAAAACUUAGCAAGGGCCUUAUCCAGUGUAUCGCAACGGAGGCCGGUGCGUAUUCAGGAUCUUUCGUCAUCGUCUCGAGGUAAACGACACACUGUCAAAGAAAGAGCAGUGGCGAUUCGCGUGGGCUACCGCCAGAGAACUGAGAGCGUCUGAGGCACACCUGAAUCCCAACAGCAUCGGUCACUACCUUACUACAGCGCG
This is a long non-coding RNA of Apis florea (little honeybee), 843 nucleotides long. RefSeq lists it as uncharacterized. NCBI's taxonomy places the organism in Eukaryota, Metazoa, Arthropoda, Insecta, Hymenoptera, Apidae. The record is from RefSeq and is a predicted model, not a curated record.